AACAAUUUUACAGUCAGAGCAUACCUCCACAUAUCCAGAUGAUGGGCCAAAUAAGAUAAAGUGGCAAUGUUCUAACUCUUAAGAAAUAGCUUAGGAAUAUAAAGAGGUUUGCAAGUGUAGUUUGGUACCCAAAAUGCAUUUAAAAUAAUAACUUGCAAUUUUUCCCUUUCUUUUUCAGAUAUGAACUAGUUAAUGACCCAGAUGGUUGGCUGAGUGUGGAUGAGAGCUCAGUUAUUAUUACUGUGGCAAAAGAAUCAAGAAUCCCCCUUCUUGCACAACAACAUGUAUACCAUUAUUGUUCAUGCUACAAAUCAUGGGCAGUCAGUUGAACUUUUGAUGUUAAGAAGCCUCCCACAAGGCAGCUACUUGGUGCUCAUCAUUAUUCAGGACAGUAUCCAGCAUCAUGCCCACUGCAACUGUCUUGUGAAAUAG
This 432-nucleotide long non-coding RNA is filed under the name Cyanistes caeruleus (blue tit). RNAcentral describes it as "lncRNA (ENSCCEG00000015251.1)". The record is from RNAcentral. Lineage: Eukaryota; Metazoa; Chordata; Aves; Passeriformes; Paridae.